Molecule: long non-coding RNA, 1638 nt
Organism: Pseudopipra pipra
Lineage: Eukaryota; Metazoa; Chordata; Aves; Passeriformes; Pipridae
Exons: 2
Source: RefSeq, a predicted model, not a curated record
CUUCAGGAUUUCAUGUCACUAUUAGAUACAUGAAACCAGAAUUUCUGUGAGGAUACCAGGGGGCGAGGAGAGUACUGAUAUCUUUGUAAAGAGCUCUUCACAAUCAAUUCUGUUGGAGGAUUUGUGUUUUCUCCCUGCUGCUCUACUUGUGGCUGUAUGUGCUGCAGUAGCUCAUCACAGACUGAGGUAAGAGUUCUUACUUUUUCAAGUUUUAGUACUCUGUAAUUCCUGCUGUUUGAGUUUUGCUGCGAGCAUCCUUUUAGACAAGAUCAUGUGAAGAGACCACCUUUUAGGUAUCAUCGUAAUGGGAACUGUCUCAAGUUUGUUUAGGAAGCUCCAGAUGUGGCUGUAUCAAUGUUUCUGUUUAAAUCAUUGCUGUGCUUUUGAAGGGAGCUGCUCAUGAGCCUCUCUCUGGUUGGGUUUGUAUCGCAGGGUGGGUUUGUAUUGGGCAGCCUAAAUGCCCUCAGAUGAAAUGAAACUGGAAGUUGUACUUUAAUGAAUCUGACACUGUCAAACUGCUAAUUGCUGUGCAGACCAUGGGACUGGACUAGGGCUGGGCUGCAGGAACUCCCCUGAAAUACUCAGUGCAGAAAUGUGUUCCUUGGCCCCAAGGGUUUGUUCUGUCAUCUCUGCCAUUCUCCCACAGCCUUUUCCCUUCCGUUGCUUUCUUCCUAAAUGGAGAGUAAAUAUUGAAUCUCUUCCAACAAAUAGCACUUCUGUAACUAAGGAUUAUUUGUUGGGGGAGAGAGCCCAAGGACCCACAAAACUGAGGUUGGUGCUGGCUGUAUGAAAUUGCAGCUAGUUCUUUUGGGUGUAUUAUAUUGAUUUUUGCAAAAAAGGGAAAAAGCAGACUGUACCCUGGAAAAUGAAAAGCUAACAAGAGGUUUUGAUGAUAAGAACCAACAAGGAAAAAACACUCCACUUCCAAAUUUUUGUCUUUUCACUGAAUAAUAUAAUUUAUUACAUAAGUAAAAUACCAACAGCAACUGUACUUUUAAUUCGUCAUUUCACUUUUUUCCAUAAUGAUCACUUAUAUAACAACUUCAUCUCCUGGUAAUGUUAGGGUAGGAGUCAGAGUAAGACACUAAACCCACAGCUGCACUCUUCAGCUGUUGCUUCUGUGUCCAUGUACCUGGAAUGAAUCUUGACUUAACAUCUGUCUCAUCAACAUUUUAUACCUGUAACAGCGAGGCCCUUGUAUAACAAGGAAUGAUCUGCUCCUCAUGGUGGUGUAAUCAAAGAGAGUUUAUUUCAAAAUUCCCACUCCUUAUAUCCCUGAAUACCAUGUGACUUCUUCAGCCAAUAGAGUUAUAUGUGACCGUGCAUGUUCUCUUGGGCCCAUUGCCCUGGCACAUCCCUCCUGCCUUCAGACACGCCUCCCACAUAUACCUUAAGUUCCCACAUUGUGCAAUUUUAAUAUACAUAACCUGUAUAGUAUAAAUACAGUUAAUUUGGAGAUGACUGUGGUACUCUGUACACAGAAUUCAAUGCCUACAAUUCCAAAGUUGAAGUGUAGCAAUGCUGAAGUCACGUGCAUUCAGUAAGAUUGUUUUUGCAACACUUCUGGAAAAAUCUCAGUUGAAGUCAAUAUUAAUAAAAUACAAAAAUAUAUAUCAGCAGAAGAUCAAUACAUCUGCA